Centaurea solstitialis (yellow star-thistle) is the source of this 69-nucleotide non-coding RNA. The record is from the annotation of a GenBank genome assembly. NCBI's taxonomy places the organism in Eukaryota, Viridiplantae, Streptophyta, Magnoliopsida, Asterales, Asteraceae.
UGGGGGUAGCCAAGUGGUAAAGCAACGGGUUUUGGUCCCGCAACCCCGAUUCGAAUCCCUUCCGCCCAG